Molecule: ribosomal RNA, 254 nt
Filed under: uncultured bacterium
Lineage: Bacteria
Description: partial 16S ribosomal RNA
Rfam family: Bacterial small subunit ribosomal RNA
Source: RNAcentral
UACGAAGGGGGCUAGCGUUGCUCGGAAUCACUGGGCGUAAAGCGCACGUAGGCGGUUUCUUAAGUCAGGGGUGAAAUCCUGGAGCUCAACUCCAGAACUGCCUUUGAUACUGGGAGACUUGGAGUCCGGGAGAGGUGAGUGGAACUGCGAGUGUAGAGGUGAAAUUCGUAGAUAUUCGCAAGAACACCAGUGGCGAAGGCGGCUCACUGGCCCGGUACUGACGCUGAGGAGCGAAAGCGUGGGGAGCGAACAGG